AAGUCGUAACAAGGUUUCCGUAGGUGAACCUGCGGAAGGAUCAUUAUUGAGUUUAAUUGAAACAGGUUGUAGCUGGCCUCUUGUUAGGCAUUGUGCACGCCUGGAUCAAUUUCCCACUCUUCAACCACUGUGCACUUUUUGUAAGAUUGGCUGGAAGAUUUUUCUGCUGCUUCGGUAGCAGCAAAGAUUUGAAGGCCUUUCUUAUGUUUACCACAAACACCUCAGUUUUAAGAAUGUCAUUGUUGUUUUUAUAACAUCUUUAUAUACAACUUUCAGCAACGGAUCUCUUGGCUCUC
RNAcentral lists this unclassified non-coding RNA (296 nucleotides) under Ceriporiopsis resinascens. RNAcentral's name for it is "partial internal transcribed spacer region". The stretch from base 1 to 46 matches the Rfam family "Eukaryotic small subunit ribosomal RNA", at positions 1786 to 1831 of the family's 1831-position model. Lineage: Eukaryota; Fungi; Basidiomycota; Agaricomycetes; Polyporales; Meruliaceae. The record is from RNAcentral.